Molecule: ribosomal RNA, 405 nt
Filed under: uncultured prokaryote
Description: bacterial SSU rRNA
Rfam family: Bacterial small subunit ribosomal RNA
Source: RNAcentral
UGGGGAAUAUUGGGCAAUGGAGGCAACUCUGACCCAGCAACGCCGCGUGAGGGAAGAAGGUUUUCGGAUUGUAAACCUCUGUCCUAGGCGACGAAGAAAGUGACGGUACCCUAGGAGGAAGCCCCGGCUAACUACGUGCCAGCAGCCGCGGUAAUACGUAGGGGGCAAGCGUUGUCCGGAAUUACUGGGCGUAAAGGGUGCGUAGGCGGUAUGGUAAGUUAGAUGUGAAAUCCCCGGGCUUAACUCGGGAGUUGCAUUUAAAACUGUCAGACUAGAGUGCAGGAGAGGAAAGCGGAAUUCCUAGUGGAGCGGUGAAAUGCGUAGAUAUUAGGAGGAACACCAGUGGCGAAGGCGGCUUUCUGGACUGUAACUGACGCUGAGGCACGAAAGCGUGGGGAGCGAACA